RNAcentral lists this unclassified non-coding RNA (506 nucleotides) under Hevea brasiliensis (rubber tree). The record is from RNAcentral. Lineage: Eukaryota; Viridiplantae; Streptophyta; Magnoliopsida; Malpighiales; Euphorbiaceae.
GGAUUUUCAAUGUUGUUAACAAAAACCCAAACCCUGCCUCCGCACAAAGUAAAAGUAUCAGUAUAACUCCGCUGGAAAAAUUCACCUACGGCGGCGAUGACGACGACGAAGAUGGUAAUCGAGAAAGUGGGAUUAGGAACGGUGAAUGCAUCAGCGUCACCGGCUUACAAAUCGCCCUUCACCAUCGGCGAUGAAGUCGAGGUUAGCAGAGAGGAAGUGGGUUAUAGUGGAGCUCUCUAUGAAGCUGUCAUUGUUGAACCAUUGAAGCCAACGGCUCCGUUUCCGUACCCUAAAAGCGAAAAUAAGAAAAGGGGGUUUUGGGUUCAGUACAAGCAUUUAUUAUCUGACCAAGGUGAAUCGGUAUCUAAACGCGAGUUCGUCAGAAAACAGUCCCUUAUACGACCUGCACCACCGGCUGCGAAGUGGGAUCAGCGGCGGAAUUUUCGAGUGGGCGAUGUUGUUGAUGCAUUUCAUCUUGCAGGGUGGUGGACUGGGGUUGUUGUUUC